UUACGACUACAUAUCAGGCAUAUCAAUAAGCGGAGGAAAAGAAACUAACUAGGAUUCCCUCAGUAACGGCGAGUGAAGCGGGAAGAGCUCAAAUUUGAAAUCUUCAAGGUUUUACCUUGACGAAUUGUAGUUUAAAGAAGUGUUUUCUGUUGGUGUUUUGGUAAAAGUUCUUUGGAAUAGGACGUCAUAGAGGGUGAGAAUCCCGUAUUUGACCAUUACUUCCAGCGUUGUGAUACACUUUCAAAGAGUCGGAUUGUUUGGGAAUGCGGUCCAAAAUGGGUGGUAAAUUUCAUCUAAAGCUAAAUAUUGGCGAGAGACCGAUAGCGAACAAGUACCGUGAGGGAAAGAUGAAAAGAACUUUGAAAAGAGAGUUAAACAGUACGUGAAAUUGUCAAAAGGGAAGCGUUUGACACCAGUGUUGUUUUCUCGAAAAUCAAUUAAAAAUGACUUGAUUUUGUGUUGUAUUGACCUUAAAAGCUUUCUUCACUCUUUUCCUGUUAUUUUUAAUGCACUUUUCGUUUAACAAGUCAACAUCAAUUUCUUUUGUUGUAAAAGAGUCAUUGGAAGGUGGCUUUCACUUCGGUGAAAGUGUUUAUAGCCUUUGGCUUCUGCAAUCGGAGAGAUUGAGGUCUGCAGCGUAGAUCCUUCGGGGUUAGAUACAUUUGUGCUAAGUUAUAGUUUUUCAUAGACAACAUGUUGACUAUGAUUAAUCAUGUAGCUUACUCGCUUAUGCUAUUUUACCUACGCUUAGGAUGUUGAAUCUGUGCGAGACUAC
Molecule: ribosomal RNA, 775 nt
Filed under: uncultured Neocallimastigales
Lineage: Eukaryota; Fungi; Neocallimastigomycota; Neocallimastigomycetes; Neocallimastigales
Description: partial large subunit ribosomal RNA
Rfam family: Eukaryotic large subunit ribosomal RNA
Source: RNAcentral